UACGUAGGUGCGAGCGUUGUCCGGAAUUAUUGGGCGUAAAGAGCUUGUAGGCGGUCUGUCGCGUCUGCUGUGAAAAUCCGGGGCUCAACCCCGGACUUGCAGUGGGUACGGGCAGACUAGAGUGUGGUAGGGGAGACUGGAAUUCCUGGUGUAGCGGUGAAAUGCGCAGAUAUCAGGAGGAACACCGAUGGCGAAGGCAGGUCUCUGGGCCACUACUGACGCUGAAGCGCGAAAGCUGGGGGGAGCGAACGGG
Molecule: ribosomal RNA, 253 nt
Filed under: uncultured bacterium
Lineage: Bacteria
Description: partial 16S ribosomal RNA
Rfam family: Bacterial small subunit ribosomal RNA
Source: RNAcentral